Long non-coding RNA from Panicum hallii, 3759 nucleotides. RefSeq lists it as uncharacterized. The record is from RefSeq and is a predicted model, not a curated record. The transcript has 11 exons. NCBI's taxonomy places the organism in Eukaryota, Viridiplantae, Streptophyta, Magnoliopsida, Poales, Poaceae.
UCCGGCGAUGUGAUGUCCGUAGUGUGGCGUAUCUCCACUUGUUCUGGGUUCACCGUGGUUGGGUUGGAAGUAGCAUGUCGCUAGCCUGCGUUUUUGUCCGCUCGAGGCUUAAGCUGUGUGUUUGGGACUCUGGCCCUUUGGCCUUUGGGUUGGGUUUUCUGCUUUUGGAUCGUUUGUUUGUUUCAGCAUCAAACUUGUUGGUUUCUGCGACGAACUGCUCCGUGUGUUUCAGUUUCAGUUAGAGAUUUCCGAAUUCGAAUUAUUAUAUCCAGUUGCACCCUUUCUGAUCAGAUUUGAUUCUGGCCAGAUGCUUUUUCAGUGACGAACUCUGGCGAUUGGAUUUGUUCAUGCUUUCACUUAUCCCCAAUCAGUUGUUCUAGCCACCGGCGCCCCUGUACGCCGUAGAAGUGUGCCCUCGAGCUCUUUGUUAAAAUUAAUAGAGAGGUGAUUUCACUGAUCAAAGGGAAGCUAAGUGGCAAAGAGCAAGUGAGAAGUACGCAAGCCUGCUAGCUGAUAAAAAAGCGGAGUUGAAUGCAAAAAGGUGUUGCGUCUGUGAUUGAUGAAACAAAUACAUCCAAUAAUAUUGUUCAGCAGCCGACUUUUGAGUUAGAUGAGAGAACCACGUAUGAUUUUGAUGAUUCAUGGUUGCAUCGGAAUGAUUUUUUCUAAAGAAUUCCAAUGGAAGAUACUAGCACUCUAUACACAACAUAUGCUGUUCUUCUAGAAUUGUCACUUAUCGAGAAGCGGAGAGAGAAAGACAGAGAAAGGUGGAGCAAAAGGUACCCUAAUACGACAGAUGAUAAGAAGGCUAAGAAAAAUGCCAACAAGUGAACAUAUUGGUACAAGGACCUUACAAUUUGCAUUGACGCAAAAAACAGUCUGGUCGAUUAACCAGGGUGCGCACUAGAAAUAUUGAUUGAGAAGAUCAGUUUGACUCGGCUUUAUGGAAACCAGAUGAUCCGAUGCAUGGAGUUGAAGAGAAUGAUUUAGACCAAAUAAACCCAUAGGAUCCUGAAAUGGAGAAUAUGGAAGACGGUGAAGCUCGUGUAUUUCAGUUUAGAGAUUUUCAAUAUGACUAUGCCGUAGAUCCCGAUAUUACCUUCAGAUAUUCGUAUCAAUAUGAUGCAUUGUACAAGGAUCUUCCAAAGAAACAGCAUACCCUGAAGAAGGCUAAAUACUGCGAAUUCUGCAAUUCAAAGAGCUUCCCACGUGAAGAGCCCACCUUCUGUUGUAGGAAAGAAAAGGUUAACAUAUAUAUUCUAGAGUUACCAGCUGGACUACGCUGAUUAUUCACGAGUCAGACUGACAAGGAUGCAAAGUAUUUUCGGAAACAAAUUCGGUAGUUUAACUUGCAUUUCUCGUUCACAAGCUUUGGAGUUUCUAUUGAUCAUCAUCUCGCGCCUGCACGAGAGUACAACAUUGAACUUAAUACCAGCAUAUCUGUUGAUCAGAGGAGAUAUAACGCACCUGGGAUGGAUCAGGUCGCUGCUAUAUGGGUGGACGGUAAUAACCCUUAGCAGAGAUUUUCUCGUAGCAUAAUAAUUUACGACAAUAAGGAUAGACCUCACCAUGUCAGGGCGUACCAUGGUUGCUACGACCCAUUAGUCUAUCCUUUGUUUUUUCCCGGUGGUGAGACCGGAUGGGAGGAUAAAAAGAUCGAGGAUCAGGUUUCACCUCCUUCUAAGCCGAAAAGAGAGUUUACGAAGCAUAAAAAGCAAGGUGAUCUUGGUGACGGUGACGAAUUAAGUGCAGUUCAGGUGCAGCCUCUUAAGAAAGCAAAUCCAGCUGAAAGGUGAGAGGUACUAUCUUCGGAUUAUGUUGAACCAUGUUAGGGGUGCAACCUCGUACGAGAAUCUGAGAACAUGCAUGGUGUUACAUAUGAGACAUUUAGGCGGGCAUGUGAGGUUAUGGGACUUGUUGAAUCAAACAAGUCACUUGAUGACUGCCUUACGGAGUCGGCUACGUUCAGGAUGCCUUAUUCGAUGCGGAGACUUUCUGCCACUAUAAUGGUUUUUUGUGAGUGUGCUAAUAUUCGACGUCUUUGGGAUAAUCAUCUUGACUCAAUGUCUGAGGAUUUUUGCCGUACAUGUGAUAAUAGCUCGAGAAUUGAACAGAUGGUGUUUAGAGAUAUAUCUUAUCAUUUGACAUCUAUGGCAAAGAUAUUAGGCACUACGGUCUUCCGGAGCUACAUGAGACUGAGGAAGAGUGGUCGAAGGAUCAUUAUAGAGAGCUUACGGAGGAACUGAAUCUUGGAUUUGAUGAGGAUCAUCUGAAAAUUAUUGGUACGCUUAAUGCAGAACAAAUGGCUGGUUAUGAAGAAAUACUUGAUCACGUGUUGAAGAACAAGGACAGGUGUUCUUUGUAGAUAGUCCUGGCAGCACCGGUAAAAUGUAUCUCUACAAGGCUUUGAUUGCUAAGGUGCGGUCAAUGGAUCUUAUUGCUACUGCUACUGCUACAUAUGGUAUAGUUGCUAGCAUUAUGCCUGGUGGGCACACCGCACAUUCCAGGUUCAAAAUUCUAAUAAAGCUGAGUGGCAAUACUAUGUGUAGCUUUACAAAGCAGAGUGACACAACGUAGUUGCUAAGAAGGACAUCUCUGGUAAUAUGGGAUGAGGUUGCAAUGACUAAGAGGCAAGCGGCUGAAACUCUUGACAGGUCAUUGCAGGAUAUAAUGGGCUGUGAGAAGCCGUUUGGAGGGAAGGUUUAUGUUGUUUGGUGGCGAUUUCAGACAGGUUCUUUCUAUGGUGCCCCGUGAUACAAGAGUCCAGAUCACAGAUGCAACCUUACUAAGGUCAUACAUAUGGGAAAGUGUUCGGCGGAUCAGGUUGACACAGAACAUGCGAGCUCAAGCUGAUACGUGGUUUGCAGAUUAAUAUUAAGGAUUGGUAACGGGACGGAGGAAAUAUUUGAUGGUGACUACGUGUGGCUGCCUGAUGACAUUUUGAUUGAGAACCCUCCGGAGGAUGAUUUCAUUGACAUUCUUAUUGAUUGUGUGUUCCCGGAUCUUGUUGCUAAUUACACUUCUGCUACUUAUAUGCGCGAGCGUGCGAUACUCUCCACCAGGAAUGAAUAUGUUGAUGCGGUGAAUGCACUUAUAACUGAUAGAUUUUCAGGGAAGCAUAAGGUUUUCUACAGCUUUGACUCUAUCGAUGAUGACUCGCGCAACAAUUAUUAUCUUGGUUUUCUCAAUUCGAUUACUCCUAAUGGGUUGCCCCCUCAUGAGUUGAAGGUUAAGAAAAAUUGUCAUGUUAUAUUGCUUCGUAAUCUCGAUCCUCGUAAUAGCUUAUGCAAUAGCACUCGGCUAGUGGUACGGGGAUUUCAGAAUACUACAAUUGAUGCGGAGAUUGUUAAUGGGUAGCGUGCAGGUAAGAGGGUGUUCAUUCCGAGGAUUCCAAUGUCUCUUUCCAAAAACCUCAUUCUUCCGUUCAAAUUUAAGAGGAAGCAGUUUCCCAUCCGGUUGAGUUUUGCUAUGACAAUUAACAAAGCGCAGGGUCAUCUCCCCGAGCCUGUAUUUUCACACGGACAGCUGUAUAUGGCGUUGUCCAGAUGUGUUUCUUGCAAAGAGAAACAUGAACAUUGAUCCUACUGGAAAGAGUAUGAAAAAUAUUGUAUACGGAGAUAUCUUGGAAUCCUGAGGUCACGGGCUUGAAGAUUAUGAGUGUUAACGGCUUAUUAGAAUAUUUUUAAAUGUUAGAAUUCGUGAUGAUUAAAUAAAUGUAUACAACUUUACAUGUCUUCAUAUUGAUACGCGACAUGUCCA